UUCCCUUUCCUUUCUUUUGAGUGAAAAGUGCCGACGGCGAAUCUUCCAUAACGGUUAUCUCGUGCUGAAGCUCGUGUACCGAACUUUCGUCUGAUCCCUGCAAUUCCUCACUGGCUACGUACGCUUUUUCCUCAAUUCAUCAGCCCUUCGAUCUUCCAUUUCUCUCUCUCCAUCAUCAUCAUCAUCAUCAUCGUCAUCUUUUUCUUCUUCGUCUUCUUCUCCUUCUUCUUCUUUUUAAUCUAGAAUGCUACAUUUUAUUUUGCAAGUAUAACAACUUGGCUUCGCAGAGUAGCUCCAGAUGAAAAUUUCUGGUGAUGGCGCUCUAGAUGAAAAAUUCUGAGUCUUUGAUUCCGUUUCCAACCAUUUUUCUGCAACUCCGUCAUGUGUUUUCUCUAAGUAUCUGAAACAAUAGGUUUUUCAAAAAAGGGAGAUUCAAGCUUCAAAAGCAACAAACAGCCUCGAUUCUCUCUCUCGUCUUCUCUACAUCUCUCGGAGUUGAUGUUAGAGGUUCUGCUACUCAAAAUUUAUCCGGAGGAAAGCUCGGAAUUUUGCAAACUGAAGAUAAGUGAACAUUUUGAGGAAGGAGGAGAAACAUCAUGGUUGAAUUCAACUCUGAAACGGCAUAUGAGGGUGGUGGCAUUGCCUUGGGGUACAAAGAAUAUGUUCUGGGUCUAUAUAUGGCUUCAUGCUCAUCAUGAGGUAUAAUACAUCUUUUAGUGAGUCAUGGCUGUCAUUUAACGUUUAUGCAUUAUUAUUGUGCUCUUUUAUAAAUCAGUGCAAAAAUAAAUAAAUAAGUGAAAUAAUAUGGAGUUCUUGCCUCCUGAUUUGUUAACUUCCUCGAAGAUCUCCAUGCUUUUUGAGGUAUAACUUACUGAUUAAAUUCAGCAUUAUUGGCUAGUGCUGAUAA
This is a long non-coding RNA of Malania oleifera, 907 nucleotides long. RefSeq lists it as uncharacterized. Lineage: Eukaryota; Viridiplantae; Streptophyta; Magnoliopsida; Santalales; Ximeniaceae. The transcript has 2 exons. The record is from RefSeq and is a predicted model, not a curated record.